AAAAUGCGAUAAGUAGUGUGAAUUGCAGAAUUCAGUGAAUCAUCGAAUCUUUGAACGCACAUUGCGCCCUUUGGCAUUCCAGAGGGCACACCUGUUCGAGCGUCAUUACACAUCUCAAGCCCCGGCUUGGUGUUGGGUGUUUGUCCCCCCCCUUCAGGGGGGGGGGGACUCGCCUCAAAAGCAUCGGCGUUGGCACAUUGGGCCUUGAGCGUAGCAUAUUUUGCGCACAAGAGGCCCCGUGUGGCGGCGGCCGCAACCCCUGGGGGCACCGCGUGUGCCCCUAUUUUUGUUUGACCUCGGAUCAGGUGGGGAUACCCGCUGAACUUAA
This 328-nucleotide unclassified non-coding RNA is filed under the name uncultured Pleosporales. RNAcentral's name for it is "sequence contains ITS1". The stretch from base 1 to 105 matches the Rfam family "5.8S ribosomal RNA", at positions 50 to 154 of the family's 154-position model. The record is from RNAcentral. Lineage: Eukaryota; Fungi; Ascomycota; Dothideomycetes; Pleosporales.